RNAcentral lists this ribosomal RNA (119 nucleotides) under Pteropus alecto (black flying fox). The record is from RNAcentral. Lineage: Eukaryota; Metazoa; Chordata; Mammalia; Chiroptera; Pteropodidae.
GUCUACGGUCAUGCUACCCUGAACAAGCCCGAUCCCUGGCUGAUCUGGGAAGCUAAGCAGUGUCGGGCCCGGUCAGUACUUGGGUGGGAGACCACCUAGGAAGACCGGUGCUGUAGGCA